CAGGUCACCAAUAGGCAUGUGAAAACAUCAGCCCAUGUUCAGCACAAAGUUCUCUACAUUUAUUUUAUAUAUUUUGUAUCAUGUGUUUUGUCAUAUUUUGUAGUCUAUUUCAGAAUAGCUAAAUGUGUGUAUGCAUUAAAUUCAGUAAUUCCUAGUUAUUUGUAUUCUUGAAUUUUAAGAUUAAAAUGUAUGACGUGACACCAAAUUGCAUUUUUGCAUUACUGGUAUUUUGCACAUAUUGGAUUACAACAUCUUGCAUAUCUGCAGGAGACGUACAUAGUGUUUCUAUAGAGAUAACAUUUUAUAUUUGCCUCAGUAUCUUAAGUCCUCAGAGAAAAACAUAGACGUUAGUGUAAAUUAUUCAUGUGAGUUUUCAUUUUAUUGUCCUACUUGAGGUGGUAUGUUUGUAAUUCUAGACAGUAGGAGAUUGAGGUUUGUGUAGUUUCAGUUGUAACUGUUCAUCUGUGCACACACAAGUGAUGAAAAAAAUGAACUGCAAUGUGUCCUUUGUGUGAAGGCUUCAGUAGGUUUACAGGUUAAGGCAAACAACUAAUAUAAUUCUUUCACAACUUUGUGGUGUAUCUGUUUCUAAAAUUCUGGUUUGAGGUCUUACAGAUGUGCCGCGUAUGGACAGUUUACAUGGUGGAUGCAUGGCAGGCUGGGGAGAAGAAUCCGCAGUCAUUCCAUCAUGUGCUGUGAACAAAAUAAGAAAUGUCUUGUGGGAACCGAGCAGAGUCUAUGCAGGGUUUAAAAAUGUAGAUAUUGAUAAUGAUUAUACAGAAGUAGAUGAAACAUGGAUAAAUGUUAUUGCUAUUUAGACUGCAUAGUUAAUAUUUGAAUAGUUUUACCUAAUAUUAACAAAUUUGUUUUCAUCUCAUGCCCUCUUGACUUUAGCUCUUUGUUUACUUUCUUUCUUCACUUCCGUUCCUCUUCUCAUUUUCUGAGCUGAACUGCCGAUCAACACCAUGAAGACUGGGGCGACAGAUGUUGGCCGUCCCUUGUUGAUUCUGAGUGGGAGAUGGCGGAGCCUGUUGGUGAAUGAAAUCAAGAAAAAAGAAACAGCUGAAAUCAGAGGGAGUGAGACCAAAACAAACUUGUUCCAUAAGCAUCCAUGAAGUGCAUGCAGAGAUUGAUCCAGCCUGCAUGUUUGCUCAUCGUGGUUGGGUGCAGGAUUCACAAUGGAUCUUAAUUUGCCUCAAGUAUGGUUGGCUUGUCACACCUGACAGGCCAACAACUUGUUGGUCGCCAUGCAUUAUUGGUCCUGUUUUUGUCUCUGUACUGCUCCGUGCACAUAUUCAACAAGACUGGAUGGCAAAAAAAAAGCCACUCAAAAUGGACUUCCUGCAGUGGCGUUUCUAUCCAUAAAGUGAUGCAUUUCCUUGUGUUGAACACUAAAGGUGUACUUUGUAUUUUAUGAGAUAUGUAGACCUAACCUGUUCAAUCAAAUUAAAUUGAUCUAUUUAUACAGACAGGUGACUAAUUAAGGAAGAAUCUGAAUAAAUGAAUGGGGAGAUGCUUCCAUAAACAUACGAGGACUCAUUUUGCACAAACCCAACACUACAACGCUAGCAUUAUUAUUGUACAAAAAUCAUUUGCCAAAGAUUUUUCAUGUGACAAUUUACUCAACAUAAAUGUAGAGACCAAAAUAUUCUAUGACCUGGUCAAUUAUUAAUAUUAUUUGAAUUUCAAAAAACAACAUGCAUUUUGUUUUAUCUGAACUAUGGUUUGUACUAGGUUUGCCAAAAGAGACCCCGAUACCUACAAACAAAAAAUGCUUGCAAAACAUUAAUGCAUUUGAAUUUCCCCCAUAAAAAGCAUACAUUAAUAAAUGACAGAAUAAAUAACAUUUUUUUUAUUUAUUUAUCUUUCAGUGUAUUUAUUUCUGUAUUUCUGUAAUCCUUAUUUAUUUAUAGAUUUGG
This is a non-coding RNA of Epinephelus lanceolatus (giant grouper), 1919 nucleotides long. The record is from RefSeq and is a predicted model, not a curated record. Lineage: Eukaryota; Metazoa; Chordata; Actinopteri; Perciformes; Serranidae.